UACAGAGGGUGCAAGCGUUAUUCGGAAUCACUGGGCGUAAAGAGUUCGUAGGCGGUUUGUUAAGUUCAAUGUGAAAGCCCAGGGCUCAAUCCUGGAAGUGCAUUGGAUACUGGCAAGCUGGAGUGCAGGAGAGGAAGGCGGAAUUUCAGGUGUAGAGGUGAAAUUCGUAGAUAUCUGAAGGAACAACAGAGGCGAAGGCGGCCUUCUGGACUGUCACUGACGCUGAGGAACGAAAGCGUGGGGAGCAAACAGG
Molecule: ribosomal RNA, 253 nt
Filed under: uncultured bacterium
Lineage: Bacteria
Description: partial 16S ribosomal RNA
Rfam family: Bacterial small subunit ribosomal RNA
Source: RNAcentral